GGGCCUGUAGCGCAGCCUGGAUAGCGCAUCUGCCUUCUAAGCAGAGGGUCGUGGGUUCAAAUCCCAUCAGGCCCG
RNAcentral lists this transfer RNA (75 nucleotides) under Nanobdellota archaeon. Its description in RNAcentral is "tRNA-Arg". It matches the Rfam family "tRNA". Rfam says of the family: Transfer RNA (tRNA) molecules are approximately 80 nucleotides in length. Their secondary structure includes four short double-helical elements and three loops (D, anti-codon, and T loops). Lineage: Archaea; Nanobdellati; Nanobdellota. The record is from RNAcentral. RNAcentral also lists the same sequence under 1 other name.